ACGAACGCUGGCGGCGUGCUUAACACCUGCAAGUCGAACGGAAAGGCCCUGCUUUUGUGGGGCGCUCGAGUGGCGAACGGGUGAGUAACACGUGAGUAACCUGCCCUUGACUUUGGGAUAACUUCAGGAAACUGGGGCUAAUACCGGAUAGGAGCUCCUGCUGCAUGGUGGGGGUUGGAAAGUUUCGGCGGUUGGGGAUGGACUCGCGGCUUAUCAGCUUGUUGGUGGGGUAGUGGCUUACCAAGGCUUUGACGGGUAGCCGGCCUGAGAGGGUGACCGGCCACAUUGGGACUGAGAUACGGCCCAGACUCCUACGGGAGGCAGCAGUGGGGAAUAUUGCACAAUGGGCGGAAGCCUGAUGCAGCAACGCCGCGUGCGGGAUGACGGCCUUCGGGUUGUAAACCGCUUUCGCCUGUGACGAAGCGUGAGUGACGGUAAUGGGUAAAGAAGCACCGGCUAACUACGUG
Molecule: ribosomal RNA, 467 nt
Filed under: uncultured bacterium
Lineage: Bacteria
Description: partial 16S ribosomal RNA
Rfam family: Bacterial small subunit ribosomal RNA
Source: RNAcentral